AGCUUUGUCAGUGGCAGUGUUGUAUCCAAUGAGGUUUAUCUGAGGUGCAAUUAUUGCUAAUUCAAAUAUUGCAAUAUAGCCAAGGAUUUAGCUCAGUGGUGCCACUGCCUAUAUAUAUAUAUA
RNAcentral lists this small nuclear RNA (123 nucleotides) under Heterocephalus glaber (naked mole-rat). RNAcentral's name for it is "U4 spliceosomal RNA". It matches the Rfam family "U4 spliceosomal RNA". From Rfam's summary of the family: U4 small nuclear RNA (U4 snRNA) is a component of the major U2-dependent spliceosome. Lineage: Eukaryota; Metazoa; Chordata; Mammalia; Rodentia; Bathyergidae. The record is from Rfam by way of RNAcentral.